RNAcentral lists this ribosomal RNA (484 nucleotides) under uncultured bacterium. RNAcentral's name for it is "partial 16S ribosomal RNA". It matches the Rfam family "Bacterial small subunit ribosomal RNA", at positions 30 to 507 of the family's 1533-position model. The record is from RNAcentral.
AUUGAACGCUGGCGGCAGGCCUAACACAUGCAAGUCGAGCGGAUGAAGGGAGCUUGCUCCUGGAUUCAGCGGCGGACGGGUGAGUAAUGCCUAGGAAUCUGCCUGGUAGUGGGGGAUAACGUCCGGAAACGGGCGCUAAUACCGCAUACGUCCUGAGGGAGAAAGGGGGGGAGCUUCGGACCUCACGCUAUCAGAUGAGCCUAGGUCGGAUUAGCUAGUUGGUGGGGUAAAGGCCUACCAAGGCGGCAAUCCGUAACUGGUCUGAGAGGAUGAUCAGUCACACUGGAACUGAGACACGGUCCAGAGUCCUACGGGAGGCACCAGUGGGGAAUAUUGGACAAUGGGCGAAAGACUGAUCCAGCCAUGCCGCGUGUGUGAAGAAGGUCUUCGGAUUGUAAAGCACUUUAAGUUGGGAGGAAGGGCAGUAAGUUAAUACCUUGCUUUUUUGACGUUACCAACAGAAUAAGCACCGGCUAACUUCGUG